GGAGAGGCGCUGGCGGGAGGAGCUGGAGUGGGAGAGGCAAGAGGCUGCUGCCGCCUUUUGGGCUGCAGCAGGUGCCUCGAGCUCUUGCCCGGUGCCGUGGGGGGAGCCCAGCCAGCCGGACGAGGAUGGCCUGCCACGCGUGCGGCCACCUCGAAAGGGCAAGAUGUGGCUGAGGGGCCUCACCUUUCGCCUUCGGGAGCUGGGCAGAUCCUGUGCGGGUAAGAAAGCGCCCAGAGCCCCCGGCACCGCAGGCGGGCACGCAGGGCCCCUGCCCGCAGCAGGCCGCACACCCUCGGGAGCAAGCGGAGCCCUGCAGCCAGGGCAGGCAGGCACCAGCGUUCACGCCUGGGGCUUUGGCGUUCCUUGCAGUGCCAGCUUUCCGGUCUUGCUCCGGCAAGAAGAGACAGCAGAAGGCCCGGGCACCUGCGGAGACCCUCGUUGCUGCGGGCCUUGUGGAGGAGCGAGAGGAGAGCGGCACCGCCGCCUCCAGCCUCACCAGUGACCAGCACCCGGUGAGUGAGGGCAGCCCCCGGCGCACAGCCCCUCGCUGGCCCCUGCGGGGACACCUGCGUCUGGGGCAGAGCCACCCAUCCCAAAGCACAGGAUCCCCACUCACGUCCCAGCCUGGCCGAGCUCAAUCCCAAAAGGCGAGAGCCGCUGAGAAGCACCUGGGAGGAGCGCUUGUGCAAAGGCUGCCUUCCAAGGAGGUCCUCCAAACCUCCUGUUGGAGCAGGGGCUGCGUCCAGCAGGCUGCGAGCACCAGCAAGAUGGCUCCAGCAGCCCUGCGUUGCCUUCUCCCUCCCCCUCCCAGACCCACCAGCCUCCCUCAAGGUCCCUUCCCCUCCGCAGCUGAUCUCCUGCCUCUCUGAGCCGUUCUCUUUUCCACCCGUGUCCCCAAAGGUCCAGGAGAGCCUCGACGCAGAGGUCCCCCCUGCUCAGGCACCUGGGGUGCCUUCUGGCGAAGAAGAUGGUGAGACGGAAGCUCCUGCAGCAGAAGAGCAGCCCACGGAGCCAAGCAGCGAUGAGGUUAUAGAUGCGGCCGUGAGAUACAUCUCCAAAUACGUGAAGGACCUGGCCGCCUACAUGGACCAAGCCAUCUCUCGGGGUAGGCAGCCGAGGGUGGAGGGUGAGGUCUUGGGCCCAGCGGGACCGGGCCAGGCAACAGGGGGCUCUCAGGGAGGAAAGCGGGGCUGGCACGAGCAGGGGUCAAAGUCUGCGCCCCUCCUCCUGUCCUGGAGGGGUCUGUCAGAGGGAACCCACUCAGCAGGGAAGUCCUUGAGGGCGUGGAGGCCUGUUUUCACCUUCUGCUUGUGUCUGCCAGAAAUGGAGCUUGCCAAAGGGCUGCAAUCAUUAGCCAGUGCCUUCAAGAAGACUAGCACUCACGAAGAGGUAAGCUGGCGGAGACGGGCAGCCCCAAAGCUCUCCCCACAACCCCCAGCGCCCUGCUUCCUGGGCUCCCGCGCCAGCUGCCUGACAGGGCCUGGGCGCUGCCACCUUCUGCACACCUCCCGCCUGCCUCCCAGCACUCUCCUUGCAGCCUGCCACUACCCGGUCCCAGCCAGGCCUGGGCUUUGCCGGUAGCGGCCAAGGCAGA
RNAcentral lists this long non-coding RNA (1594 nucleotides) under Struthio camelus australis. RNAcentral describes it as "lncRNA (ENSSCUG00000000125.1)". Lineage: Eukaryota; Metazoa; Chordata; Aves; Struthioniformes; Struthionidae. The record is from RNAcentral.